RNAcentral lists this long non-coding RNA (1386 nucleotides) under Oncorhynchus kisutch (coho salmon). RNAcentral describes it as "lncRNA (ENSOKIG00005006098.1)". The record is from RNAcentral. Lineage: Eukaryota; Metazoa; Chordata; Actinopteri; Salmoniformes; Salmonidae.
GUGUGUGGGAGCUUAACCGUGUGCAAGGGGAGAGAUGGAGAGGGGGGGGGAUAGAUGGAGCGCAAUGAAAAGGGAAAAACUCCAGCCAUUAAUCAGACACAGAGUUGGUGGGGGUGGGGGUGGACAGAAUAGAGAGAUAGAGAGACAGAGAGAGAGAGACAGAGAGAGAGAGAGACAGAGAGACAGAGAGAGAGAGAGAGAGAGAGAGAGAGAGACAGAGAGAGAGAAAGAGAGGAAAAGGAUAACUCUCCAUUCUCUCUGCAGGAUAAUCAGUGACGCUACAUUCAGUCAUAAAUCCUCUGAGCAGCAGAGCAGUAAUAGGGGUGCAUUGCAUGGUGCCAUUGCCAGAGAUAUUAUAGAAAGAAGAUAGGAAUCCAAUGAAUGAAGGAACGUAUAACGUCCCAGCCAGCAGACUGUUUACAAAUCGUGUCGUCAUGCUGCUUCACGUGGUUGCUAUGCUAAUCAUCACGCAAUCCCUUCUCAAAGUCAGUAUAUGUCGAGAAACGUGCCUAAUUGUCCUCGAAAGUACGUGUUGUCAUGAUUCCAAAGCUAUACAAUACUACAGAUAGCAAGUUAAUUAUCUCAGAUCUCUGAAAAGAUUUGUAAUGUUGUACUUAUUGUUGACGAAAUUUGUGCUCAUGUUGGGUUUUUAACGAGUCUGGGCUCCCAUUCAGUCCUUGAAGGAGAGCGCUUCUUGUCCCAGAAUCGCCCAGAAUGCACCGCACAGCCCGUUGACGUAGCAUGGGCAACGUUUCCUAUCUCCUCAAAAGUAUAACUGCCGUUGCGAAUGUCAGACUCCACUCAGUGAGGCAAAUCGAUCUGCAGCUACUUUACAUGCUGAUAUCGACCCUUGAUAUUAUUGUGUGUUGCUAGCUACAUUUGCUCGCUAACUAGCUAACUAGCCAGAGCAUUGCAUUGUGAAUUUUGCAGUCAACUUGAGCUGCAACAGAUUUCCACAACUAAUUUCCCAUGUCGCUAUCAACCUUAUUAUAACGGCAAAAUGAAACAUUUAUUCACAAAAAAAUAUUGUUUUCACAUAUUAGUGUCAUCUAACACUGUAAGUUAAAUGAAUGAGUGGUUUUGGGUGGAUGUUUCCUGUGAGAUGCAGUACCAGACAGUCGUGACAAUUGCCUUUAAUGGUGGAACAGAAGGGUUUUGGGAGAGAGAGAGAGAGAGAUAGAAAACGGAGAUUGAGAGGAUAGAGAGAGGGGUUUGAAGAGGCGAGACUGCCAGAGCGCAAGAGACACACACAGAGAGAGAGAUGAAAAUAACCAGUCCCUCUCAACAACCUGUGUGGUAGGGUUAUUGCUGAGCAACGUCCACACACACGGCAGACCAAGUGAUGAAAGAUGGCCUGGCGAGUAUUAAUGUAGUAAACAAUGAAAC